AUUGCUUUUUGGCCUUUUGGCUAAGAUCAAGUGUGGUUUUUGUUAAUAUCAGUUUAAUACCUGAUACAUCCUCUAUCUGAGGACAAGAUAUUAAAUGGAUUUUUGGAGCUAAAAGUUGGAUUAGGAGCUUGCUCCAUCCACUCCACACAUUAACCUGGUAUUGAAGUACCUCCAGGAAUGGUGCACAGGGA
Molecule: small nuclear RNA, 191 nt
Organism: Sorex araneus (European shrew)
Lineage: Eukaryota; Metazoa; Chordata; Mammalia; Eulipotyphla; Soricidae
Product: U2 spliceosomal RNA
Exons: 1
Source: RefSeq, a predicted model, not a curated record